CAGCCGCCGCGGGAAUACAGAGGGUGCGAGCGUUAAUCGGAUUUACUGGGCGUAAAGCGUGCGUAGGCGGCUUCUUAAGUCGGAUGUGAAAUCCCUGAGCUUAACUUAGGAAUUGCAUUCGAUACUGGGAAGCUAGAGUAUGGGAGAGGAUGGUAGAAUUCCAGGUGUAGCGGUGAAAUGCGUAGAGAUCUGGAGGAAUACCGAUGGCGAAGGCAGCCAUCUGGCCUAAUACUGACGCUGAGGUACGAAAGCGUGGGGAGCAAACAGGAUUAGAUACCCCUGUAGUCCCUGUCUCUUAUAC
This 301-nucleotide ribosomal RNA is filed under the name uncultured bacterium. RNAcentral describes it as "partial 16S ribosomal RNA". It matches the Rfam family "Bacterial small subunit ribosomal RNA", at positions 509 to 807 of the family's 1533-position model. The record is from RNAcentral.